AACCGGCGAGUUACGAUCUGAUGCAAGGUUAAGCAGAAAAUGUGGAGCCGUAGCGAAAGCGAGUCUGAAUAGGGCGAAUGAGUAUUUGGUCGUAGACCCGAAACCAGGUGAUCUACCCUUGGUCAGGUUGAAGUUCAGGUAACACUGAAUGGAGGACCGAACCGACUUACGUUGAAAAGUGAGCGGAUGAACUGAGGGUAGCGGAGAAAUUCCAAUCGAACUUGGAGAUAGCUGGUUCUCUCCGAAAUAGCUUUAGGGCUAGCCUCAAGUGAUGAUUAUUGGAGGUAGAGCACUGUUUGGACGAGGGGCCCCUCUCGGGUUACCGAAUUCAGACAAACUCCGAAUGCCAAAUAAUUUAACUUGGGAGUCAGAAUGUGGGUGAUAAGGUCCAUAUUCGAAAGGGAAACAGCCCAGACCACCAGCUAAGGUCCCAAAAUAUAUGUUAAGUGGAAAAGGAUGUGGCGUUGCCCAGACAACUAGGAUGUUGGCUUAGAAGCAGCCAUCAUUUAAAGAGUGCGUAAUAGCUCACUAGUCGAGUGACACUGCGCCGAAAAUGUACCGGGGCUAAACAUAUUACCGAAGCUGUGGAUUGUCCUUUGGACAAUGGUAGGAGAGCGUUCUAAGGGCGUUGAAGCAUGAUCGCAAGGACAUGUGGAGCGCUUAGAAGUGAGAAUGCCGGUGUGAGUAGCGAAAGACGGGUGAGAAUCCCGUCCACCGAUUGACUAAGGUUUCCAGAGGAAGGCUCGUCCGCUCUGGGUUAGUCGGGUCCUAAGCUGAGGCCGACAGGCGUAGGCGAUGGAUAACAGGUUGAUAUUCCUGUACCACCAUUAUUCGUUUUAAGCGAUGGGGGGACGCAGUAGGAUAGGCGAAGCGUGCUGUUGGAGUGCACGUCCAAGCAGUGAGAUUGAGUGUUAGGCAAAUCCGGCACUCUUAAGAUUGAGCUGUGAUGGGGAGAGGAACUUGUUCCUCGAGUCGUUGAUUUCACACUGCCGAGAAAAGCCUCUAGCUAGAAUAACGGUGCCCGUACCGCAAACCGACACAGGUAGUCAAGAUGAGAAUUCUAAGGUGAGCGAGCGAACUCUCGUUAAGGAACUCGGCAAAAUGACCCCGUAACUUCGGGAGAAGGGGUGCUCUUUGAGGUUCACGCUUCGAAGAGCCGCAGUGAAUAGGCCCAAGCGACUGUUUAUCAAAAACACAGGUCUCUGCUAAACCGUAAGGUGACGUAUAGGGGCUGACGCCUGCCCGGUGCUGGAAGGUUAAGAGGAGUGGUUAGCGCAAGCGAAGCUACGAAUCGAAGCCCCAGUAAACGGCGGCCGUAACUAUAACGGUCCUAAGGUAGCGAAAUUCCUUGUCGGGUAAGUUCCGACCCGCACGAAAGGCGUAACGAUUUGGGCACUGUCUCAACGAGAGACUCGGUGAAAUCAUAGUACCGGUGAAGAUGCCGGUUACCCGCGACAGGACGGAAAGACCCCGUGGAGCUUUACUGUAGCCUGAUAUUGAAAUUCGGUACAGUUUGUACAGGAUAGGUAGGAGCCUUAGAAGCGUGAGCGCUAGCUUACGUGGAGGCAUUGGUGGGAUACUACCCUAAUUGUAUUGGAUUUCUAACCCGCAGCACUUAUCGUGCUGGGAGACAGUGUCAGGCGGGCAGUUUGACUGGGGCGGUCGCCUCCUAAAGAGUAACGGAGGCGCUCAAAGGUUCCCUCAGAAUGGUUGGAAAUCAUUCAUAGAGUGUAAAGGCAUAAGGGAGCUUGACUGCGAGACCUACAAGUCGAGCAGGGUCGAAAGACGGACUUAGUGAUCCGGUGGUUCCGCAUGGAAGGGCCAUCGCUCAACGGAUAAAAGCUACCCCGGGGAUAACAGGCUUAUCUCCCCCAAGAGUUCACAUCGACGGGGAGGUUUGGCACCUCGAUGUCGGCUCAUCGCAUCCUGGGGCUGUAGUCGGUCCCAAGGGUUGGGCUGUUCGCCCAUUAAAGCGGUACGCGAGCUGGGUUCAGAACGUCGUGAGACAGUUCGGUCCCUAUCCGUCGUGGGCGUAGGAAAUUUGAGAGGAGCUGUCCUUAGUACGAGAGGACCGGGAUGGACAUACCUCUGGUGUACCAGUUGUCGUGCCAACGGCAUAGCUGGGUAGCUAUGUAUGGACGGGAUAAGUGCUGAAAGCAUCUAAGCAUGAAGCCCCCCUCGAGAUGAGAUUUCCCAACUUCGGUUAUAAGAUCCCUCAAAGAUGAUGAGGUGAAUAGGUUCGAGGUGGAAGCGUAGCGAUACGUGGAGCUGACGAAUACUAAUCGAUCGAAGACUUAAUCAA
RNAcentral lists this ribosomal RNA (2302 nucleotides) under Staphylococcus pseudintermedius. Its description in RNAcentral is "partial 23S ribosomal RNA". It matches the Rfam family "Bacterial large subunit ribosomal RNA", at positions 618 to 2925 of the family's 2925-position model. The record is from RNAcentral. Lineage: Bacteria; Bacillati; Bacillota; Bacilli; Caryophanales; Staphylococcaceae.